This 207-nucleotide ribosomal RNA is filed under the name uncultured bacterium. RNAcentral describes it as "partial 16S ribosomal RNA". It matches the Rfam family "Bacterial small subunit ribosomal RNA", at positions 568 to 774 of the family's 1533-position model. The record is from RNAcentral.
CGCGUAGGCGGACUUCCAAGUCGGGUGUGAAAACUGACGGCUUAACCGGCAGCUUGCACUCGAUACUGUUAGUCUUGAGUACAGGAGAGGAAAGUGGAAUUCCAGGUGUAGCGGUGGAAUGCGUAGAUAUCUGGAAGAACACCAGUAGCGAAGGCGGCUUUCUGGACUGAUACUGACGCUAAAGCGCGGAGGCUUGGGGAGCAAACA